This is a long non-coding RNA of Crotalus tigris (Tiger rattlesnake), 664 nucleotides long. RefSeq lists it as uncharacterized. The record is from RefSeq and is a predicted model, not a curated record. Lineage: Eukaryota; Metazoa; Chordata; Lepidosauria; Squamata; Viperidae. The transcript is spliced from 3 exons.
CUAAAACCUAAAAAUUGCAGCCUUUUUCAAAUCCCAAUUUAAACAAGCUAAAAAUAUUUUAAUGAAUUAAUGUUCUUAUAUACCUGGGCUAACCGAGCAGCUGGUUUACACUGCUUGUUCUGCUUUACCCACAGCAAAAAAAGUAAAGAAAAAUGGAUGUGACUACAGGUUGUUCAAAACGAGCAAUUUUAAGAUUAAAAAUUAUACACACUAUUCCAAUUUUUAUUUAAUUGCCAAAUUACACACAUUCACAUUUUCUUCCUGGCAAGUAGUUUAUCUUACAUGUAUGUGUAACAUCUCUCUCUCAGCCCAAUCAAUCUUAUAGGGUUGUUGCUGGGAGAGAGGGGAAGGAAGUUGGAAUAAUAAGCGUUGUAUAUAUUACAUUGAUUUGCUCAAAAUAGAAUAUAAAUAUAUAGAAAAUAGAAGUGUACCUCUUAUUUUGGGUAUCUUCUCAAAUAUAUUGAGACAUUGAUUCCGUAGUGCAACCACUACCGUAACACAGCUAGAUCUUUUCUUUCAGGUUCACAUGGAAGCUUUAAAACAGUGGUUCUCAACCUUUUUAAUGCCGCGACCCCCAACCGGUCAUAAGUCGAGGACUACUCAACUGGUGCAGCACCGUUUGCAGAAUGGGACUUUUGGCGGGCUCAGCAGGGCAGAGACAGCC